UUCCCCUGUGUGCUUUGAAGUAUUAUUCCAGGGAUAAUAAUAAAGGAAAACAGAUAUUGUCUUCCCAUUUCAGAAUGGUGGCUCUUUACUAGCACUGGUGCAGAAGUGCAGAAGCCUUUUGAAUCAAAAGGAAAUCAAAUCUGUGUCUUUGAGGUCCAGCUGCAGAGUACAGCAUUGGGUAAGAGAGAAGAAACAUGAGCCAAAUAAUACUAGGCGGGUAUCUCCUGAGAGAGCAGCGAGGAACAAACCAGUAGUCAGAGUGCUGCUCGCACAGAAUCCAAAGAAGAAAUGGCUGGUGACAUUCCAGCCCUUUGUGCAAAGACACACGCAAGAAUACCAUACCAUCCUUUCCAUCUCACAUCAUCCCAGCAGCACCAGGUGGGAGAGCUGGAAGUUACAUCCAGUGUUGGGCACCAGCUCUUCUGCAGGGUAUCCAUCCCUGAGCCCAUCAAGCAGGUUAUGGGGGAUCCAGACUGCCAGGAGCCAGUGGAUCUGG
This is a long non-coding RNA of Harpia harpyja (harpy eagle), 496 nucleotides long. RefSeq lists it as uncharacterized. NCBI's taxonomy places the organism in Eukaryota, Metazoa, Chordata, Aves, Accipitriformes, Accipitridae. The record is from RefSeq and is a predicted model, not a curated record. The transcript has 4 exons.